UAAUGCCGGAUGCUCCAUCACACCGCAUGGUGUGUUGGGAAAGCCUUUGCGGCAUGGGAUGGGGUCGCGUCCUAUCAGCUUGAUGGCGGGGUAACGGCCCACCAUGGCUUCGACGGGUAGCCGGCCUGAGAGGGCGACCGGCCACAUUGGGACUGAGAUACGGCCCAGACUCCUACGGGAGGCAGCAGUGGGGAAUAUUGCACAAUGGGCGCAAGCCUGAUGCAGCGACGCCGCGUGAGGGAUGGAGGCCUUCGGGUUGUAAACCUCUUUUGUUAGGGAGCAAGGCAUUUUGUGUUGAGUGUACCUUUCGAAUAAGCACCGGCUAACUACGUGCCAGCAGCCGCGGUAAUACGUAGGGUGCAAGCGUUAUCCGGAAUUAUUGGGCGUAAAGGGCUCGUAGGCGGUUCGUCGCGUCCGGUGUGAAAGUCCAUCGCUUAACGGUGGAUCCGCGCCGGGUACGGGCGGGCUUGAGUGCGGUAGGGGAGACUGGAAUUCCCGGUGUAACGGUGGAAUGUGUAGAUAU
RNAcentral lists this ribosomal RNA (523 nucleotides) under Bifidobacterium breve. RNAcentral's name for it is "bacterial SSU rRNA". It matches the Rfam family "Bacterial small subunit ribosomal RNA", at positions 164 to 697 of the family's 1533-position model. Lineage: Bacteria; Bacillati; Actinomycetota; Actinomycetes; Bifidobacteriales; Bifidobacteriaceae. The record is from RNAcentral.